GCAAGUCGAACGGAAACGAUGGAAGCUUGCUUCCAGGCGUCGAGUGGCGGGCGGGUGAGUAGUACUUAGGAAUCUGCCCAUUAGUGGGGGACAACUCGGGGAAACUCGAGCUAAUACCGCAUACGCUGUACGGGGGAAAGCGGAGGACCUUUUGGGGCUUCGCGCUACUGGAUGAGCCUAAGCCGGAUUAGCUAGUUGGUAGGGUAAAAGCCCACCAAGGCGACGAUCCGUAGCUGGUCUGAGAGGACGAUC
Molecule: ribosomal RNA, 252 nt
Filed under: uncultured bacterium
Lineage: Bacteria
Description: partial 16S ribosomal RNA
Rfam family: Bacterial small subunit ribosomal RNA
Source: RNAcentral